UACGUAGGGUGCGAGCGUUGUUCGGAGUUACUGGGCGUAAAGAGUGCGUAGGCGGUCCUGUAAGUUUGGUGUGAAAUCUCACGGCUCAACUGUGAGCGUGCGGGCGAUACGGGCAGACUAGAGUACUGCAGGGGAGACUGGAAUUCCUGGUGUAGCGGUGGAAUGCGCAGAUAUCAGGAGGAACACCGGUGGCGAAGGCGGGUCUCUGGGCAGUAACUGACGCUGAGGAGCGAAAGCGUGGGGAGCGAACAGG
This 253-nucleotide ribosomal RNA is filed under the name uncultured bacterium. RNAcentral's name for it is "partial 16S ribosomal RNA". It matches the Rfam family "Bacterial small subunit ribosomal RNA", at positions 524 to 776 of the family's 1533-position model. The record is from RNAcentral.